AAGAAUAAGAAAAGAAAAUCAAAAAAGCCACAAACAAUGGAACCAAAGAAGCCAUUGAAAUAGGUGGAAGUAUAUGACAGAACUACCAGCCAACGUCAGGAAUGCUGUUGGUUAUGAAGCAAGAACUUCGUAGAAAAAGUUUAAUCCACACUGAGACAAAUCAUCAGCCUCCACCCUCUGCUCUCUCACCUGUAAGUCGCUUUCGUGUUACCUGUCCUGGGCACAUUUUUCUAGUUCUUCUUCCUGAAAUCCCCACCCAGCUAUCAUCCCUUUUCUCACGUAUAUCUGACUGCUUCAUUGUGCUUCCCAAUGAGCCUGUUCUCUAUGACUCUCUCUCCCUGUGGUUCAUUUCUGUUAGGUCCACAAUUCCUUCAUAACCACACAAGCUGUUUACGUCCAGACUUCCCUGUUGUCAUUAUCUCCCGCGGCAGACUUACCCAUUGAUGACCCCCCCCCUUCUGGUCCUGCCUUCCUCCCGGGCUUGUUUGGACAAGCAGCCCAGCCUCUCCCACUGACAUUCACUGAGUGCCACUCCACACAUAACAGGAGACUGGGUUGGACCUAAGAAAAUAAUAAUUAUUAUUAUAGCUCCCACUUUUCGAGUGUCUACUCUAUGCCUCGUGCCAGGCUAAGGUCUUUACGAGCAUGAUCUCAUUUCAUCUUCACAAUAACACUAUGUGCUACACAAUCUCAGUAUCACAAGUGAGAAACCUGAGGCUCAAAGAAGCUACAUAAGUUGCCAAAGAUCACACAGCUGGAGAGGUCCUGCCAGGCUGUGAAUCCAGAUCCAGUUUAAAGUCCUGGCUCCAAAUCACCAUGCUAUAUUCCUUCCUGAGAGCCUGCUUCUAGAUUUUAGGCCUUUUCAAACUGCAAUGAAGUCCCACACGUGAUUUGCCAAUUCUAAACAUAGGCACAAAUCCUCCCAAACUCUACUUCCCAUGCAACUGCCUCUUUGGUGGUGAUAUUUUUCUACAUUAUAUCAUUCCAAAUUCUUUGCUGAAUAUGAGAGAAUUUAAAUUAAUUUUUCAAAGUGUAAUUUUAAUAUACC
This 1048-nucleotide long non-coding RNA is filed under the name Equus caballus (horse). Its description in RNAcentral is "lncRNA (ENSECAG00000060204.1)". The record is from RNAcentral. Lineage: Eukaryota; Metazoa; Chordata; Mammalia; Perissodactyla; Equidae.